This 924-nucleotide ribosomal RNA is filed under the name uncultured bacterium. RNAcentral describes it as "bacterial SSU rRNA". It matches the Rfam family "Bacterial small subunit ribosomal RNA", at positions 1 to 916 of the family's 1533-position model. The record is from RNAcentral. RNAcentral also lists the same sequence under 1 other name.
GGAUCCAGACUUUGAUUCUGGCUCAGGAUGAACGCUAGCUACAGGCUUAACACAUGCAAGUCGAGGGGAAACGACAUCGAGAGCUUGCUUUUGAUGGGCGUCGACCGGCGCACGGGUGAGUAACGCGUAUCCAACCUGCCCACCACUUGGGGAUAACCUUGCGAAAGUAAGACUAAUACCCAAUGACGUCUCUAGAAGACAUCUGAAAGAGAUUAAAGAUUUAUCGGUGAUGGAUGGGGAUGCGUCUGAUUAGCUUGUUGGCGGGGUAACGGCCCACCAAGGCGACGAUCAGUAGGGGUUCUGAGAGGAAGGUCCCCCACAUUGGAACUGAGACACGGUCCAAACUCCUACGGGAGGCAGCAGUGAGGAAUAUUGGUCAAUGGACGAGAGUCUGAACCAGCCAAGUAGCGUGCAGGAUGACGGCCCUAUGGGUUGUAAACUGCUUUUAUAAGGGAAUAAAGUGAGUCUCGUGAGACUUUUUGCAUGUACCUUAUGAAUAAGGACCGGCUAAUUCCGUGCCAGCAGCCGCGGUAAUACGGAAGGUCCGGGCGUUAUCCGGAUUUAUUGGGUUUAAAGGGAGCGUAGGCCGGAGAUUAAGCGUGUUGUGAAAUGUAGACGCUCAACGUCUGCACUGCAGCGCGAACUGGUUUCCUUGAGUACGCACAAAGUGGGCGGAAUUCGUGGUGUAGCGGUGAAAUGCUUAGAUAUCACGAAGAACUCCGAUUGCGAAGGCAGCUCACUGGAGCGCAACUGACGCUGAAGCUCGAAAGUGCGGGCAUCGAACAGGAUUAGAUACCCUGGUAGUCCGCACGGUAAACGAUGGAUGCCCGCUGUUGGUCUGAAUAGGUCAGCGGCCAAGCGAAAGCAUUAAGCAUCCCACCUGGGGAGUACGCCGGCAACGGUGCAACUCAAAUGAAUUGACGG